RNAcentral lists this ribosomal RNA (253 nucleotides) under uncultured bacterium. RNAcentral's name for it is "partial 16S ribosomal RNA". It matches the Rfam family "Bacterial small subunit ribosomal RNA", at positions 524 to 776 of the family's 1533-position model. The record is from RNAcentral.
CACGUAGGGGGCGAGCGUUGUUCGGAAUUACUGGGCGUAAAGGGCGCGUAGGCGGCCAUCUAAGUCACACGUGAAAUCCCCAGGCUUAACCUGGGAACUGCGUGUGAUACUGGAUGGCUUGAAUUCGGGAGAGGGAUGCAGAAUUCCAGGUGUAGCGGUGAAAUGCGUAGAUAUCUGGAGGAAUACCGGUGGCGAAGGCGGCAUCCUGGACCGACAUUGACGCUGAGGAGCGAAAGCUAGGGGAGCAAACGGG